UUCAAGUUAUUUGCCAACUGCCAAAAAACAACACAGAAGAAGAAGAAGAAGAUGUCCCUUGCCCCUCUUUUCCUCUGGGCCUUGAUCUGGUGUGAUCUUAUUUGUGUGGUGUGCUUUGAAAAGCUGUACAGUAGUUUUGUGUGGAUACCUUGUCAUUGGGUAACUGAAAAGGAAAGUUAGAUUUUUUUGUUCUUCUCACAGUGGAAGCUGGUAGGGGUUCUCUGCCAUUUUUGUUGGAACACUUUUUCUCCUGUUUUGUGGUCAGGCAGGGAGCUCAGCCUUUGUACUUUUAAGUUUACUCUUAGCUAGAGAUAUUUUGCUUUCAUACUUAGUGGGGGGUGUUAAUUAUUUUGGCCUUGGAGACCCUGAAGCUUAAAGCUUCACUGUGUUUAAAUAUUGUGUUUGUAAUUUUACCAUUUCAAUAUUGUAAAAUAAAUUGAAUCUUCACUCACUGACAUCAACUGCUUCAGGCGGAUUCCUUGUUUUAUGUUACACCCAGUGCCAUGACUGAACUUCCUUAAGAAGAUUGUAGAAUAAGUGGGGGCUCGUCCGAGAUAAAUUGAUUUUGAACAUGGCACAGUUUAAUAUGGAGGAGUUUGUUAGUAAUCCUUCCUUACAGCAGUUUGAUGUUUGUAGAAAGGAUGAUUUAUAUGAAAUUGAAUCCUGUUACGGUAUCUCAGUGUCUAAGUCUAUGCUCAAAAGUGAAUUAAAAUCUCUUGUCUUUAGUAGCUUAGUUGACAAAGGAGUAUUGCCACUGGAAGUGGAUAAUGAGGGGGCCACCUCAUCUUUUGGAGCUGCUGAUCAGUCUGCAGUUGAUGACAGAAUGGGGACACCUGCUGCUACUACAAAAUCAGAGGGAGGACUUCCUAAGGAUGAGAAAUCAAUAAAAUACUGAGGGACACAGGUGGUUCUCAAUCCUUCAUCCUUUCCAAUCUGCUGCCAUUCAAUGCGGAAACAUACUGCAAUGCAAGUACCAUAGUACAAGGAAUUGGGAUGGCCUACAUACCUGCACCGUUACAUCAUGUUCACAUAAAGUCCAAGUUGGCCUCUGGGUUCUUCAAAGUGGUGGUGAGAAACUUAUUUCCUGUCCAGGGGGUUGACUUUAUCAUGGGAAAUGAUCUUGCUGGGGAUAAGGUACUUCCUAAACCUGAAGUGGUGGACAAACCUCGUAUGAUGGAGGAGGAUGAAAUGUUGAAUUCCCACCAUGAUGUGUUUGCUGUCAGUGUUCUUACCAGGUCCCAAGCUCAACAGCCGGAGGAAGUGAACUUGACUGAAUCUGUUCUUGGAUCUGCUUUGAAGGAGGACAAGCUACUAGGAGCUGAACCUUCAAAACCAGCACAUAUCGAGGAAGAAUUGACUCCAAUGUCAGACAGUUUUCUCCUCCCAUCAUUGUCAUGUUUACCUUGCUGCCACAGGUGUGAUGUAUUGCAGCUCGUCAGCCACUCCAUAUACAGCUUCACCUCAGACCUGUCCCUUGCCCCUCUUUUCCUCUGGGCCUUGAUCUGGUGUGAUCUUGUUAGUGUGGUGUGCUUUGAAAAGCUGUACAGUAGUUUUGUGUGGAUACCUUGUCAUUGGGUAACUGAAAAGGAAACUUUGAUUUUUUUUUGUUCUUCUCACAGUGGAAGCUGGUAGGGGUUCUCUGCCAUUUUUGUUGGAACACUUUUUCUCCUGUUUUGUGGUCAGGCAGGGAGCUCAGCCUUUGUACUUUUAAGUUUAUUCUUAGCUAGAGAUAUUUUGCUUUCAUACUUAGUGGGGGGUUUUUUGUUAAUUAUUUUGGCCUUGGAGACCCUGAAGCUUAAAGCUUCAUGGUGUUUAAAUGUUGUAUGUUUGUAAUUUUACCAUUUCAAUGUUGUAAAAUAAAUUGAAUCUUCAUUCACUUACAUCAA
This is a long non-coding RNA of Girardinichthys multiradiatus, 1886 nucleotides long. RefSeq lists it as uncharacterized. The record is from RefSeq and is a predicted model, not a curated record. The transcript is spliced from 4 exons. Lineage: Eukaryota; Metazoa; Chordata; Actinopteri; Cyprinodontiformes; Goodeidae.